This is a long non-coding RNA of Chiroxiphia lanceolata (lance-tailed manakin), 300 nucleotides long. RefSeq lists it as uncharacterized. The record is from RefSeq and is a predicted model, not a curated record. The transcript is spliced from 3 exons. Lineage: Eukaryota; Metazoa; Chordata; Aves; Passeriformes; Pipridae.
GGGAAGCUGAACAUGUGCCCACGGUGUUCACACUUGGUCCACCUUCUUCCAAGCCAUUUGCUGCAGUCAAACAUGCCUCACUUUGGUUUCAUUGAUGGCCACCCCUUCCUCUCUCUCUGUCUCUCCAGAGGGUUAAGAAGCUUACAGUUGGAGUGCUUUCUCCCUGGCUGAGGGGCAGGAGAGUGAGUGGCUGCAGAGGACAGACAGAUAAAACAGCACAAAAGCAUCACUGAUGGAAGAAGAUCAGACAAGUACAGGAGAAGCUGAGUAGGAUAACGGCAGAUGAAUAGGUGAGUGUAU